This 253-nucleotide ribosomal RNA is filed under the name uncultured bacterium. Its description in RNAcentral is "partial 16S ribosomal RNA". It matches the Rfam family "Bacterial small subunit ribosomal RNA", at positions 524 to 776 of the family's 1533-position model. The record is from RNAcentral.
UACGAAUGGGGCAAGCGUUGUUCGGAAUCACUGGGCUUAAAGCGUGCGCAGGCGGCCUGUAAAGUCAGGAGUGAAAUCCCGGGGCUUAACCCCGGAAUUGCUCUUGAAACUCACAGGCUAGAAUCCGGGAGAGGUUGGGAGAAUUCCUAGUGUAGAGGUGAAAUUCGCAGAUAUUAGGAGGAAUACCAGUGGCGUAGGCGCCCAACUGGACCGGUAUUGACGCUCAGGUACGAAAGCGUGGGUAGCAAACAGG